AUGGAAUCAAUGCCAAUAAUGGAUAUUAAAAGAAGCACGCGGAUUCAAGUGGCAUCGCGUUCUCCUUCCUCUCAUCAACUCAACUCUGAUCACUAUUCACUAUCGUUACACACUCCGCUGUACCAGAGGCGGUCCUUGGUGGCGAAGGCGGAAUAAAAACAAUCGAACCCUAACAUCCCAACCGAAUCGUGGUGUUGAUCAUUAAUCUAACAGCAAAAUCUCCUAAUUUCUCAAGAAUCUCUAAAAUCGGAAAGAAAUAUGUAGGAACCCUAACUAGUAAAACCUACAUCAUCUGCUGCUCUCCAAGAACCGGAGCCCGAGGGAUUAGGGCUCCGAUUCGCCUAUCUCUCCUCUACGUCAUGGUGAUAACGAACUGAAAGAAAAAAGGAUUUGAAACUCAUCUUGCCGGAGACGAUGACUGUGACAGCGAAAUCUCUACUUCCAGGUGAGAACUCUGUUCGUAAUCUCUUAACCUUGUUCUUCCAGCUUUCUCCAUCCUUCUUCUUUUUCUUCUUGACCGAGCGAAUCGAGCCCUUGACCUUGGAAUGUCCUUCGGAUGUGAUUGAAGAUUGUGAGGGAUGAAGGUGAAGGUUGAGUUGAGAGAGAAUGGAGGUUCUGGUGAUUGUUGAGAGUGAUUGAAGAUUGUGAGGGAUGAAGGUGAAGGUUGAGUUGAGAGAGAAUGGAGGUUCUGGUGAUUGUUGAGAGUGAUUGAAGAUUGUGAGGGAUGAAGGUGAAGGUUGAGUUGAGAGAGAAUAAAGGUUCUGGUGAUUGUUGAGAGUGAUGAAGAUGAGCAUAUGAAUCCCCGUCCGUGAAUUUGAGAUAAUGAAGUGAAUUUAUAGACCGAGAUUCUGUUAGAAACUCAGUUGAAAUUCACUUCAAAUGAAACUCAAAUGAAACUCAAAUGUGGAAAAUGGUUAUUUGAUCAAAAUGUUAGUUAGGAUUAGCUGGAAAUGAAUCUAAAAUGAUUUUAUCUUUGAGGUUAAUCUGAAAAAUGAAUUUGAAGGUAAUUUAUUGAGUUUAAAAGUCGAUCUCAUUUGAGUUAUUUGCCUGAAUCGAUUUCCUACAGAAUGUACUUCCACUCAAAGCUUCUGCAAUUUCUUCUUUCUUCUAGUCUCAAUGUGUUAUUCCACUUCUGAAUUCUAUUUCUGUUUUUGGGAGGUUAUGGAAGGUUGGUUCGAGAGUCAGUUCGUUAUCCCGUUGCCGGUUCAGUUAAAGGGUUUUCGCAUCAGCUUGUGAGUUGGUUCAACGGUUUUGUUAGAGUGAAACCUAAAGAGUAGGUUGGAAGGUUUGGUUAUUAGUUGAAAGGUGGUUCUUUCCGGUUGAAGGAAAAUGAAGAGGUUAAGACAUUUGAACUGAAUUUCAUGGCUUUUCCUGUUCAAAGCAUGUGGGGUGAAUGUAAUGAAGCUUAGGCGCCUGCGUGUUUACCUCGACUUUUGUCACAGAACUUCCAUCUUUCAUAACACGGAAGAUCAUGUCAUUCAGAUGAAUUAGAGCAGUGCCUCUUCCAGAUAGCAUCUUUUUGGGAGCAACAAGAUCAUGUACACAAUACAUAGGGUCUUUGAGUAAAUUUAUCCACAUAAUACUUGGAAUUGCUAUAAAUGUUGUCAGGAUUGUACACCCAAGGCGGAUAUAUCCCUCCAUCUCCACAUGCCUACUUGCUAACCAUUGGAAUAUUUGGAGUCCUAGCCUUCUAGGAAUAUCAGUAGGAUUCCAAUCGUAAAGCUUAAAAGAAACCCGACUUGUUUGGCAUAUAUAUGAAUAAUCAUUCUUAUUGUCACGAUAUGAAGGCGAUUUGGAAAGAUUGGAAACAUCAUUUCCAAUAUUGGCUUAUGUUUCAGCAGAAGCAACAAAGGGCAUGCCACUCUCACCAUUAAUAUUCUGGGCCUUUAGUGUUAAGGACCCAAUAUCAACCUGCUCUUCUUCAUGAUCUAAGGCUUAUAAUGGUGAAUGAUUUAGAUGAAUAAAAUGGUCUUGGUAAAAUGGUUUUUUUUAUCCAUUGCAGGUUUGAUUAGUUGUUAAUGAGGUUGGUUAGUUGGUUUUGAAGAGGAACAAAAAGGAAGUUCAGUUUUGUCGGAGUCCAAGAGAAAAUCCAAGGAAUAACACAUAAUGAUUCAAUUCCUCCACUCGAGUUUCUUUUUGAUGGACGACUGCCAAUGUUCGUUCGCCCGUAUUCCAACUCAGGUGUUGCGCAUCAAAAAUAUUCAAAAAAACGAGGUUCUUGGAAAACAAUUGAGCGAUACUCCUUUGUUGCAAUGACUGCCAUCUAAUCCAAAAGGGCACACCAUUCUGGUUUUGGUGACACAGGAGGAUGCAUUAUGUGUUCUAGUGUAGGUGAAGUGAAACACUGAAGUGUUCUAAAUCACAAGUGCUCCUUUCCGAAUGAUUUUCGAUAACUUCACCUUGAACUGUUACUGGAAGUGAGCCAUGAAUAAUAUAAGAUGGCUAAGAUAAUAUAGCAAGAUGACUAGGACCGCCUCCUUUUCCAACUGUCUCUUUUCUUUCAUUUUGUUUAAUAAUCCUCUGGGAAAUAGAUAUACUAGGAGGUAUGAAUGAAAACCAUCAUCAUGUAAGACAAGACAAUGAAUUUUAUCCUUUGAUAGUGGUUUGUAGUUUGUAUUGUAAUGGAUAUUGAUCAUUGGAUAUGUAAAAUGGAUUAUUAUGUAUUAAUGGAUAAUUAUUGGAUAUGUAUAUGGAAUUUGGAUA
This is a long non-coding RNA of Lathyrus oleraceus (garden pea), 2703 nucleotides long. RefSeq lists it as uncharacterized. NCBI's taxonomy places the organism in Eukaryota, Viridiplantae, Streptophyta, Magnoliopsida, Fabales, Fabaceae. The record is from RefSeq and is a predicted model, not a curated record. The transcript is spliced from 3 exons.